GACCGGUUGAUAUGUUUAUAGGUUCAGUUUAAAGAGUCUGGAAUAUGCCAUGGAUUUGUUCUUUGGAUUGAUUGGGUGCUGAACUUGGAGGAUAAUAAUGUGUGGUCGACAGGACCAGAACAACGAUAUUGGAAGCAAGCCGUGAAGCUUUUAAGUAACCCUGUAGAGAUUAUGGGUGACUGUUCGUCAACGGAAAUCAAAGCAUCAUUUGAUCCUUCAAGUGGUGAACUCACGGUAACACAUGGUUUCUCAUGACUCCAAGAUUUCCUUAUUUGCUCUUGUGAAGUCUCGACUUCUUUCUAAAUUUUUUCUUGUUUUGUUGUAAUUUAUUUUGAGUUCAUGCAAGCUUGUCUGCUGCUAUGAUCACCUUAUGGUUAUAGGAUUCUAUAAUGGCUCAAAAUGGCAAAAGUAGCCAUGUACAUGCAAAGAGUAUAAUGACAAUUUUGUAUUCCCUUAAGGGAAGUAGAUAGCAUAUUUUGCAAGUACAAAAUGGAUAGCCAGUUAGUUAACUGUAUUAUUGAAAUUUUUUUUUGUUUGACACUUGCAACCGAUCCAAUCGAUAGUUUGCUGAUCGUGUUCUUUAUCA
This is a long non-coding RNA of Olea europaea var. sylvestris, 586 nucleotides long. RefSeq lists it as uncharacterized. The record is from RefSeq and is a predicted model, not a curated record. NCBI's taxonomy places the organism in Eukaryota, Viridiplantae, Streptophyta, Magnoliopsida, Lamiales, Oleaceae. The transcript is spliced from 2 exons.